Molecule: ribosomal RNA, 253 nt
Filed under: uncultured bacterium
Lineage: Bacteria
Description: partial 16S ribosomal RNA
Rfam family: Bacterial small subunit ribosomal RNA
Source: RNAcentral
GACGGAGGGUGCAAACGUUGUUCGGAAUCACUGGGCAUAAAGAGCACGUAGGCGGAUAUUUAAGUCAGGGGUGAAAUCCCGGGGCUCAACCCCGGAACUGCCUUUGAUACUGGGUAUCUCGAGUCCGAGAGAGGUGAGUGGAAUUCCGAGUGUAGAGGUGAAAUUCGUAGAUAUUCGGAGGAACACCAGUGGCGAAGGCGGCUCACUGGCUCGGUACUGACGCUGAGGUGCGAAAGCGUGGGGAGCAAACAGG